This 497-nucleotide ribosomal RNA is filed under the name uncultured bacterium. RNAcentral's name for it is "partial 16S ribosomal RNA". It matches the Rfam family "Bacterial small subunit ribosomal RNA", at positions 28 to 507 of the family's 1533-position model. The record is from RNAcentral.
GAUGAACGCUGGCGGCGUGCCUAAUACAUGCGAGUCGAGCGAACAGAUGAGGAGCUUGCUCCUCUGACGUUAGCGGCGGACGGGUGAGUAACACGUGGAUAACCUACCUAUAAGACUGGGAUAACUUCGGGAAACCGGAGCUAAUACCGGAUAAUAUAUUGAACCGCAUGGUUCAAUAGUGAAAGACGGUUUUGCUGUCACUUAUAGAUGGAUCCGCGCCGCAUUAGCUAGUUGGUAAGGUAACGGCUUACCAAGGCAACGAUGCGUAGCCGACCUGAGAGGGUGAUCGGCCACACUGGAACUGAGACACGGUCCAGACUCCUACGGGAGGCAGCAGUAGGGAAUCUUCCGCAAUGGGCGAAAGCCUGACGGAGCAACGCCGCGUGAGUGAUGAAGGUCUUCGGAUCGUAAAACUCUGUUAUUAGGGAAGAACAAACGUGUAAGUAACUAUGCACGUCUUGACGGUACCUAAUCAGAAAGCCACGGCUAACUACGUG